UUAACACAUGCAAGUCGAGGGGUAACAGGGAUUGCUUGCAAUCCGCUGACGACCGGCGCACGGGUGCGUAACGCGUAUGCAACCUACCUUUUUCAGGGGGAUAGUCAAUAGAAAUGUUGAAUAAUACCCCAUAAUAUUAUUAAUCCGCAUGGAUUGAUAAAGAAAGCUCCGGCGGAAAAAGAUGGGCAUGCGUCCUAUUAGUUAGUUGGUAAGGUAACGGCUUACCAAGACAUCGAUAGGUAGGGGUCCUGAGAGGGAGAUCCCCCACACUGGUACUGAGACACGGACCAGACUCCUACGGGAGGCAGCAGUGAGGAAUAUUGGACAAUGGAGGCAACUCUGAUCCAGCCAUGCCGCGUGCAGGAAGACGGCCCUAUGGGUUGUAAACUGCUUUUAUACAGGAAGAACUGUAUCUACGUGUAGAUACUUGACGGUACUGUACGAAUAAGGAUCGG
RNAcentral lists this ribosomal RNA (455 nucleotides) under uncultured Bacteroidota bacterium. Its description in RNAcentral is "bacterial SSU rRNA". It matches the Rfam family "Bacterial small subunit ribosomal RNA", at positions 48 to 496 of the family's 1533-position model. The record is from RNAcentral. Lineage: Bacteria; Pseudomonadati; Bacteroidota.